CCUACGGGAGGCAGCAGUGAGGAAUAUUGGUCAAUGGGCGCGAGCCUGAACCAGCCAAGUAGCGUGAAGGAUGACUGCCCUACGGGUUGUAAACUUCUUUUAUAAAGGAAUAAAGUGAGGCACGUGUGCCUUUUUGAAUGUACUUUAUGAAUAAGGAUCGGCUAACUCCGUGCCAGCAGCCGCGGUAAUACGGAGGAUCCGAGCGUUAUCCGGAUUUAUUGGGUUUAAAGGGAGCGUAGGUGGGUGGUUAAGUCAGUUGUGAAAUUUUGCGGCUCAACCUCAAAAUUGCAAUUGAUACUGGCAGUCUUGAGUACAGUUGAGGUAGGCGGAAUUCGUGGUGUAGCGGUGAAAUGCUUAGAGAUCACGAAGAACUCCGAUUGCGAAGGCAGCUUACUAAGCUGCCACUGACAUUGAGGCUCGAAAGUGUGGGUAUCAAACAGGAUUAGAUACCCCAGUAGUC
Molecule: ribosomal RNA, 460 nt
Filed under: uncultured bacterium
Lineage: Bacteria
Description: partial 16S ribosomal RNA
Rfam family: Bacterial small subunit ribosomal RNA
Source: RNAcentral